This 390-nucleotide ribosomal RNA is filed under the name uncultured bacterium. RNAcentral's name for it is "bacterial SSU rRNA". It matches the Rfam family "Bacterial small subunit ribosomal RNA", at positions 28 to 420 of the family's 1533-position model. The record is from RNAcentral.
GACGGACGCUGACGGCGUGCUUAACACAUGCAAGUCGAGCGGUAAGGCCCUUUCGGGGGUACACGAGCGGCGAACGGGUGAGUAACACGUGGGUGACCUGCCCUUAGCUCUGGGAUAAGCCUGGGAAACUGGGUCUAAUACCGGAUAUGACUCCAUGACGCAUGUUGUGGGGUGGAAAGCCUUGUGCGGCUAGGGAUGGGCCCGCGGCCUAUCAGCUUGUUGGUGGGGUGAUGGCCACCAAGGCGACGACGGGUAGCCGGCCUGAGAGGGCGACCGGCCACACUGGGACUGAGACACGGCCCAGACUCCUACGGGAGGCAGCAGUGGGGAAUCUUGCGCAAUGGGCGAAAGCCUGACGCAGCGACGCCGCGUGAGGGAUGACGGCCUCGG